UCAUUGGUGGUUCACUGGUAGAAUUCUUUCCUUCUAUGUAGGACACCCAGGUUUGAUUCCUAGCCAAUGCA
Molecule: transfer RNA, 71 nt
Filed under: Loxodonta africana (African savanna elephant)
Lineage: Eukaryota; Metazoa; Chordata; Mammalia; Proboscidea; Elephantidae
Rfam family: tRNA
About the family: Transfer RNA (tRNA) molecules are approximately 80 nucleotides in length. Their secondary structure includes four short double-helical elements and three loops (D, anti-codon, and T loops). Further hydrogen bonds mediate the characteristic L-shaped molecular structure. tRNAs have two regions of fundamental functional importance: the anti-codon, which is responsible for specific mRNA codon recognition, and the 3' end, to which the tRNAs corresponding amino acid is attached (by aminoacyl-tRNA synthetases). tRNAs cope with the degeneracy of the genetic code in two manners: having more than one tRNA (with a specific anti-codon) for a particular amino acid; and 'wobble' base-pairing, i.e. permitting non-standard base-pairing at the 3rd anti-codon position.
Source: Rfam by way of RNAcentral